Molecule: long non-coding RNA, 1170 nt
Filed under: Sus scrofa (pig)
Lineage: Eukaryota; Metazoa; Chordata; Mammalia; Artiodactyla; Suidae
Description: lncRNA (ENSSSCG00040007057.1)
Source: RNAcentral
CUGAGCACCAGCCUCCGAAGGCCUGAGGGAAGGGGAUUUCAGUUCUGAGUCGAAAAGUGAAGACCACUUCUGGGCAAAAUUGUAAAGCAGAGGAAGGGAAGAAAAUGGAAGAAGCAAGAAGCAAGGAUUGAGAGGAACUGCCAUGUGCCAGAUCAGCCCCCCUUGAAGUAAGAAAUGUCAUCAGGUAUGUAUUUUAUACCUUUUUUCCCUGCUAACAAUUUAUGCCUCUUUUUUUCCCCCUUCUUCUGUUCUUUUUUUAACCUCCAAAGGGGGUCAUAUUUGUAUACAUUAUUCUCGGUCUUAACACAAUAUUCCACAGUGUGUAUGUGUAGUAUAUACAGAGUGCAUAUUCUAUAUGUGUGGGGUGGGUGGGCAUGUGUAUACACACACAAUAAUUUAUUUAACCAUUUGCCUGAUGGUGUCAUUUAGUCCUUUGUAUUUUAAUACAUUAAUUUGUUGAUUUUUCCCUAUUCCAAACAAUGACAUAGUAGACAUAUUUGUUAUAUCUCCAUGUGUUUUUUGUUAAUAUCUGUAUCAAAUACUCCAAGAAAUGGGAGUAAUCAUCAAGGGGUGUGUGUAUUUUUUAGGUGAAUUAAAGCAUUUUUAAGUACCAAAAAUUUGGCCUUUAGGUAUACACUUAUUUAUGAUUAUCUCCACAGUUAUUCUCUUUUCAGUUAGCUUUAUUGAAACAUAAUUUACUUACAGUAAAACUCACUUGUUAAAAUGUACAAUUCUGUGAGCUUUGAUGCAUAUGUAUAGUUGUGUUAUCACCCGCAGAGUUAAGAUAUAGAACUGUUCCAACCACCCCAAACUUCCCUCGUGCCCCUCUGAGUCAGCCUUGUCCCUCUCCAGAUAUCUGUCCCUCUGUUUUUGCCAUUUCCAGAAUAGCACAGAAAUGGAGUCAGACAGUGUGUAGCUUUUGGAUUCAGCAUAAUGCAUUUGAAAUUCAUCCAUCUCGUUGCUCAUAUCAGUAGUCUGUUCCUUUUUAUUGCUGAGUGAUAUGCAAUUGUAUGGUUGUACCAUAGUUUGUUUAUCUGUUCACCAGCUGAAGGGCAUUUGGUUUGUCCUCAGAUUUAGUAUUUAUGAUAAAGCUGUAAUAUUUUCCUAAAGGUUUUUGCAAAAGCAUAGGUGUUCAUUUCUCUUGGGAAAAUACCAAAAAAAAAAAAAAAA